This 488-nucleotide ribosomal RNA is filed under the name uncultured bacterium. Its description in RNAcentral is "bacterial SSU rRNA". It matches the Rfam family "Bacterial small subunit ribosomal RNA", at positions 396 to 884 of the family's 1533-position model. The record is from RNAcentral.
GUAGCGUGAAGGAUGACUGCCCUAUGGGUUGUAAACUUCUUUUAUACGGGAAUAAAGUGAGGCACGUGUGCCUUUUUGUAUGUACCGUAUGAAUAAGGAUCGGCUAACUCCGCGCCAGCAGCCGCGGUAAUACGGAGGAUCCGAGCGUUAUCCGGAUUUAUUGGGUUUGAAGGGAGCGUAGGCGGACGCUUAUGUCAGUUGUGAAAGUUUGCGGCUCAACCGUAAAAUUGCAGUUGAUACUGGGUGUCUUGAGUACAGUAGAGGCAGGCGGAAUUCGUGGUGUAGCGGUGAAAUGCUUAGAUAUCACGAAGAACUCCGAUUGCGAAGGCAGCUUGCUGGACUGUAACUGACGCUGAUGCUCGAAAGUGUGGGUAUCAAACAGGAUUAGAUACCCUGGUAGUCCACACAGUAAACGAUGAAUACUCGCUGUUUGCGAUAUACAGUAAGCGGCCAAGCGAAAGCGUUAAGUAUUCCACCUGGGGAGUACG